This 4686-nucleotide long non-coding RNA is filed under the name Gossypium barbadense (sea-island cotton). RNAcentral's name for it is "long non-coding RNA (GBAR_LNC006624)". Lineage: Eukaryota; Viridiplantae; Streptophyta; Magnoliopsida; Malvales; Malvaceae. The record is from RNAcentral.
AAGAAUUUCAUGUCUUUUGUAUUAAAGAAUUAAAUGGAUGAAAUAUGAAGUUUUAUUAAAAGAAAAAGGUGUGAAAAGAACAAAGUUUUGUCCAUCUUUGUUCAUCAUAGCUGAAAGUUAGAGAAGAGAAAGGAGAGGAGAAAGCUCUUAAGUGUUCGGUCACUUGGGGAAGAAAAUUGAAGGUAAGUACAUGGUAGUUGGCUUCUAUCUUGAUGUUCAUGAGUUCUUCUUGAUUCUACCUUAACUCUUGAAGCAUAUUUUGGUUUUUAGUUGUGUUGUGAGCAUUUAGUCAUGAAUUAAAAUGAAGGAAAUGGUUGUUGUUUCAUUUUAUUUUGAUGAAAAAAAUGGAAGAUAGGUGAAGUUGAGCCAAACAAAUGAGCAUCAUGUGCCUUAGAUGUUAAAGGGAAAAAUCAGCUAACAUGUUGUGCUUUAAAAUGAUGAAAUGGAGAUUAUACUUAAGUAAAAUCAUAGAUAUGUGAUGAUUGAUUGGUGAUAUACAUGUUUAAAUAACAUGCAUGCAAGGUAUGUGUGAAAGAGUGAUUUGGUAAUAAAUCUGCUUGGGACAGCAACAGUAACGUGACUUUGGAAAAUCACCAUAAAUUGUGGGAGAAGAAUUAGAAACUGAAUAAAUUAUGUAAUUAAAUCUUAAUAAGUCUAGUUUCAAAUGAAAUAAACGAGAAUAUAUUUUGAAUUCUGUACAAUGAGAAAUUUGAUUUGAAAUAAAGAGUGGUCAGAUUAGUCCAACAGUGAAACAUGGGAAACUUUAAGAAAAAUCUGGUAUUGAUUGGCCAAACCAAAAAUUCUGAAAAUUUUAUGGAUAGAAGAUAUAUGAGUCUAUUUUCAGGGAAAAUUAACGGAACUUGAUUUGGAGUUUCGUAGCUCCAGUUAUAAAUAAUUUAAUGACUAUUGCUCAGGAAGACAGCUUGCAGUGAAAUUAUAAUUAUGUGGUAAACAUUGACAAAAAUUUGUUAAUGAGUUGCUUAUUGAUUUCUUAUAAGCUUACUAUGAUCUGUAGGUGUGGUUGGUCGAAUAUUGUAAGGGGUUAAUACGUAGUUUGUAUUUGAAUAGUUAGAUUAACGUGUUAGUAAUCCAAUUGUAGGCGGUUCGUGUGUGGAUCUCGUCAGCAUAUCGUCGCAAACAGGUGUGUAACUAACACCCUCUUUCUUAGUCUGGAUCGGCAAAAGUCGAAAAGCCGAAAUGCCGAAAAUCGGUAUUUUGUAGAUUUGCGAGUGUGCGAAUGCUCGUGAGGUAAAUCGAUUAAUGUUUUUGGUAAACUGCAAAAAUUUGGACUGCAAAGUGCAUGAUUUCUGUGCCCUCGAUAUUUUUGGGCUUAAUGGCCCAAAAUUGGAAUGAUGGGCCAACGGGCCCAAUUCGGUAAGAACCCUCGGUACGUGAUUCUGUUAGUACGUGAAAAGUAGGAAAAUGCAUGAAAAACCCUAAAAUAGAUAAAUUACUGAAAUACCUUUAAAAGUGGAAAAUUUACAGUUUUACCCCUAAGAGAUAAAUUACCGAAAUACCCCUAGGGUUAAAUUGACUUAAAUGCAUGUUUGAUUGUUGUUAUUUACUGCAUGCCAUGUUGUUAUUAUCUGAUGCAUGGGAUUGGGAUAUUGACGGAGGAAGUACUGAAAGUGGCUUGUCCACGUACUGGAGGCUUUGCCUCAAUUUACUGUUAACUGAGCAGCAAUGCUGCAACUGUGGAGUGUUGGGCUGGAUGGGUUGAGCUAUCCCCACAUGGAGUGUAUGGCUGGUACGGGUGGAGUGUAGUGGUUGGUGGGUUGAGUAGUCUCCCCAAAUGGGCUUGCAUAUGUUUACUGAUAUUGCAUGUAUUUUGAAAUGGGCCUAUGGGCCAUACUGUUAUCUGAAUAAAGUGCUAAGGCCCAGUUUAUUGUAAUCUGAAAAGGGCUCUGGCCCAGUACCACUGUUACCCAAAUGGGCUUGUAUAUGUUUACUAAUGUUGCAUGUAUUUUGAAAUGGGCCUAUGGGCCAUACUGUUAUCUGAAUAAGGGGCUAAGGCCCAGUUUAUUGUAAUCUGAAAAGGGCUCUGGCCCAGUACCACUGUUACCUGAAUGGGCUUGAGCUGACUUGGGAUUUGAAUGAGUUUUCCUUACACACUGAGUUUCCCCAAACUCACCCCUUUUAUUUUCAUCCACGCAGGAAAUCCUCAACCAUAGUGGGCUUGGAGCUGUGAGGGAAUUCGGAGUGGCCACCCGUUCUGAAAGUUUGAUUUUCUUCUGGUGAACUGGACAUCCUUUUAUUUACGUUUGAAGUUUUGGGUUUUUAAAUGUAAUAAGGCCGCUUAAUUAUUUUUGAUGGUUUUAAUAUGUAUUACUAAGAUAGGUAAUACUUAUUUUAACUGUUGAAAUUGGAGAGCUUUAGGGCGCGUUUUUAAAAACAACAAUUGAUUUCAAAAUAACACGACAACAAGCAAAGCUUCCGCAAUGAAAGUAUUUUCCAAAAUUAAUCACUUUUUCCUAAAAAUGACUUAAUCAAAUCGGUUUCCUAGAAAUAUCCAUGACGUUAAGGUGUGGCAAUGGCGGUAUGCAUGUCUAGGAUUGGAUCCGAAGGGAGCUUGGUACUUAAGCAGUCCGAUGGACUCACCACCUCUUUUCCGGUUUCCUACCUGGUGCACAGCUUCCAUUCACUUUAACCUUUAAUGAAUUAAUCUUUUGAACAUCAAGUAUGAUUUUCUGGACUUAGAAUGGAAAUUUUUUUUUACGUUUUUGAUGUGGCAUGCCAGAUCCAGCCAUAACUUCUGGGCCGGGUUUGGGGUGUUACAGUGGUUUUGUAUAAUUUUGAUCUAAUGAGGACCGAAAAGGAUUUUGUAGUUGAAAGCACGUGUUUCAAGGCUAUUCUAGGGUGGUUUCGUGACCACACAGGCGUGUGACGACUCACACAACCGUGUGCUUUUGGGAAUUAAGGUUUUGAGUGAAAUUUGGGUACCACACGGUCUGGCCACACUAUCGUGUGGCUGAUUUGGGGAUUUUAUCGAUUUUCACACGACCGUGGCCGUGUGUGUUUGGAGAUUAGGAUUUGGGAGAUUUGGUGCCACACGACCUGGCCACACGGUUGUAUGGCUGAUUUGGGGAUUUAGGGUUUUCACACGGGCGUGUGUUUUGGGCACAUGGUCAUGUCUGGUGGGCACACGGGCGUGUGAGAGUCUCAUACGACCGUGUCAGCUCUGUACUCAAAUUUAGUGCAAUUGGACAGAGAGUUACACGGCCUAUUCCCACGGCCAUGUCCUUGGUUUACACGGGCUUGUGCUUCAGGCAUACGACUGUGUGCCUCUCUUCACACGAGUGUGUGCCCCUUUUUACACGGGCAUGUGACCCCCACACGGCCAGGGUAGACGGACGUGUGGUCGUAAGACACUUAUAUUGGUUCUACGUGCGGUUUUGGUCUAAAAAUGUGUUUGCGUGCUUUGACCCUUGGCUAAGCUUAAACAAGGGCAGUUAAGACUCUAUUUUGGGCUACAGCUUAAGUGCUAUUUGUGAUCGAUGAGUGUAAUGUCUGACUCUGAACCUGAUUAAACAGGGUGUGUGUGUGUGUGUGCAUAUCUGUUCUAUUUGAAUGUUUGAUACUGUGUCACUAUUCUGUGAGAUUGAAUCCAUACAUGCACUUGCAUAAAUUGUUUUGGGUUGGGUUGUGAAGAGAAGGGAGACUGGUUCCGAUCUGAUUUGGCAGUUCUACUGCAACUUAUACGCACAGCGAUUUAUCGCACUGUACCGCACAUGCGUCAGCUUUGCUACGCACUAUUAUCUAAUCUGGCAGUUUAACUGCAACAUGUCUGUAUAGCGGAUUAUCGCAUUGCACCGCACUAUAUGCACGUUAGCUAUGCUACGUACCACUAUUUGAUCUAACAAUUAAGCUGCAAAUUACCGGUAUAGCGGUUUACCGUAUUGCACUGUACCGCAUGUACGUUAGCUACGCUACGUAUGUAUAUCUGAUCUGGCAGUUCAACUGCAUUUUGAUAAGUCAUCGUUAUCGGGCAACCCGAGAUGAGCUUAUAUGGUGUGUAGGGUUGGAUGGGCCCACUUGGUCCUAAUUAAUGUAUUUGGUUGGAUGAGCUUUAACAGCUCUUUUGGGGUGUGACCGAGGGACGAAAAGGUGUGUUGGCUAAAUGGGUAGGUUUUUAUUUGACUGCAUUUCAUCCACAUCUGUCUGUGAAUUUUGACUGAAAGACUAGUUGUCUGUGAUCGGUUUGUCUGAUUAGCAUUUGUGAUGAAACUUGGUGUGAACUUAAUGUGCUCUGAUUGUUAAGCGCUGUUUGGACAUUAGUUCCAGGUAUGCUUUCUGGUUCUGUGUGUAUUUAAAAUUCUAUUGCGCUUCUGAUUUGGAUACUCUAUUUCUAUCUCUGUUUUUUAUUCGAACUCACACUGAGCUCGAGUAGCUCACCCCCUCUUAGUGUUCUCCUUUCAGGUACUCUUCUGAAUUCUGACGCUAGGUUCGUUAUGCGGAGGUCUCAGACAGUCUCGAAGUAGAAUAAAUUAUUAGUUUGUAUUUUCAGUUUCUAAUUGAUAUUUCAAUUUUGAACUGUAAAAUUUUAUAAAAAUGAGGUACAAAUUCCGUUUUAAGUUUUUAGUUUUAAUCUGAUGAUUUAUAUUACCUCAACUAUAAUUUUACUGUUUGUAUUUUUAAAGAUUAAAUGUUUCAGUUUGACGUGACAACCUGUUUCUAGCCCAGAUUUAG